RNAcentral lists this long non-coding RNA (261 nucleotides) under Brassica napus (rape). RNAcentral's name for it is "long non-coding RNA (BNAP_LNC010218)". The record is from RNAcentral. Lineage: Eukaryota; Viridiplantae; Streptophyta; Magnoliopsida; Brassicales; Brassicaceae.
UUUUAAGUACCACUCAUGGUUAAGCGUAACACACACACAUUAGUCAUACUUUUAUGUUGAUUGUUGUUGUUGAUUAUCACAAAAACUACAAGGAAACUAAACUUAUCACCAAAUGUCACCAUCUGAUUUUGAUUAUGAAGUAUCUUCUCUGCUACUGAAUUUUCGGAAAGAAUUGUUUCUUCUUUUUGAAAGGUUUUUAUUUAAGUCAGUCUUACAUUUAGACAUUAUUCUUUGUCUUGUCUAAGAAUUGUACAAGUAAAU